AUAAUCAUUAGUCUUUUAAUUAAGGUCUAGAAUGAAGGAUUGAACGAAGUAAAAUCUGUCUCAUUUUAAUUAAUAUUAAAAUUUAAUAUUUAAGUCAAAAAGCUUAAAUAAAUUUAAAAGACGAGAAGACCCUAUAGAAUUUUAUAAUUUAAAUUAAAUAAUUUUUUAAAGUAUUAUUGAUUUUAUAUAAUUUACAUUAUUUUAUUGGGGUGAUAAAAAGAUAAAAGUAACUCUUUAAUAAUAUUAUUCAUAAAUUAAUGAUUUAUUAAUAGAUCCUAUAUUAUAGAUUAUUAAAAUAAAUUACCUUAGGGAUAACAGCGUAAUUUUUUUUUAAAGUUCAUAUUAAUAAAUUAGAUUAC
RNAcentral lists this ribosomal RNA (359 nucleotides) under Onycholyda amplecta. RNAcentral's name for it is "partial 16S ribosomal RNA". The record is from RNAcentral. Lineage: Eukaryota; Metazoa; Arthropoda; Insecta; Hymenoptera; Pamphiliidae.